RNAcentral lists this ribosomal RNA (403 nucleotides) under Fusobacteriota bacterium. Its description in RNAcentral is "Fusobacteria bacterium partial 16S ribosomal RNA". It matches the Rfam family "Bacterial small subunit ribosomal RNA", at positions 355 to 776 of the family's 1533-position model. Lineage: Bacteria; Fusobacteriati; Fusobacteriota. The record is from RNAcentral.
UGGGGAAUAUUGCACAAUGGAGGGAACUCUGAUGCAGCGACGCCGCGUGAACGAAGAAGGCUUUCGAGUCGUAAAGUUCUUUUAUAUGGGAAGAUAAUGACGGUACCAUAAGAAAAAGCCCCGCCUAACUACGUGCCAGCAGCCGCGGUAAUACGUAGGGGGCUAGCGUUGUCCGGAAUCACUGGGCGUAAAGGGUUCGCAGGCGGAAAUGCAAGUCAGGUGUAAAAGGCAGUAGCUUAACUACUGUAAGCAUUUGAAACUGCAUAUCUUGAGAAGAGUAGAGGUACGUGGAAUUUUUAGUGUAGCGGUGAAAUGCGUAGAUAUUAAAAAGAAUACCGGUGGCGAAGGCGACUUACUGGGCUCAUUCUGACGCUGAGGAACGAAAGCGUGGGUAGCAAACAGG